Molecule: long non-coding RNA, 475 nt
Organism: Bombus impatiens (common eastern bumble bee)
Lineage: Eukaryota; Metazoa; Arthropoda; Insecta; Hymenoptera; Apidae
Exons: 3
Source: RefSeq, a predicted model, not a curated record
UUGACUGGGCAGGUAACCGCUGAUACAUCCGCGUGAAUGGACGAAGAAAAUUCCAAACUUUCUAUUAGAUGUACCUUGGAACACGAUGUAAUUCAUCACAUUGAAUUAUGAAAGCACGUGGCGUGCCAUUGAGCAAGACACGAAGCCGCUGUUCAAAUGGCAAACACGAGGCACGAAAAUGAAGCAAUCAAGGACUAUCGUAUCUUUGGAGUGUAAAGUGAAGAAAUCGCUGGACCAAAUCGUGAAACUGGUGAACCUGGAGGCACUGGCCGUGUCGGUAGACCACAUUUUGCGUGAGAUGAGAUCUUGACGAUAUUUUCUCUGAUCGACUGUGAUCCUUAUGCUAAUUCGACGGUGUUCAGAACAUCGGAUAGACCAGAUGGUGAAAAUACCAGACAUGUUAGCAAACGGUGAAGUACAAGGAGGUAGAGCGCGCCAGUUUUCUCUGGAGAAGCUGAUGGAACUGGCCAAGGAG